UUUUUUUGUUUUUUGGAGACAGGGUCUCACUGUAUCGCCCAGGGUGGAGUGCAGUGGUGCGAUCACAGUUCAUGGCAGCCUUAACCUCCUGGGCUCAAGUGAUCCUCCCAUCUCAGCCUCCCGAGCAGCUGGGAUCACAGACAUGCACCACCACACUCGGCUAAUUUUUAAAUGUUUUGUACGGACGGGGUCUCACCAUGUUGUCUAGGUUGGUCUCAAGCAAUUCUCCUGCCUCGGCCUCCCGAAGUGCUAAGAUUAUAGGUGUAAAAGCCACAGCACUGAGCCUUUUUAUCAUUUUAUUUGAAGUAUAACGGAACGCUUAGACCCCGGGGGUUCCAUCUGAUUAUAAUGGAGUUGAAAAGUUUCUAUCGCCUAGUGAUGUCGUAGGCCUCAUAAGGCUGUAGCACAACGAGCUACCUUCUCUGUGUUGAGAUACGCAAAUGCUUACCAUUGUGUUCCAGAUGCCUGCCGUAUUCAGCUCAGCACCCAGUUGUGCAGGCCUGCCACCUAGGAGCAGUAGGCUCAACCGUGCAGCCUGGGUGUGUGACAGGCCACAGCAUCUGGGUUUGUGUAAGUGCACUCUGCAGUGUUCACACAACCAUGAAAUUGCCUCAGGACUCAUUUUCCCGUGGUUUCCCGGCGAAUGACUGGAUAACGGAUGGACAGCCAACUGCAUGUACCUGAAGCGUGCGACUCGGCCGGUUUCGAGACCUGUGAUCGCUGACGGAGGCGUCUCCGUGGUCGAGAUCACGAACUUCCCUCCACAGCCUCCGCUGUGACCCGUUGACCACCCCUCCCUGUUCCCCCCUCCUCCCCACCCCCAUCCCUGUUCCUAGACAGCCACUGUUCUGCUUUAUGUAGACGAGUUUCCAUUUCUAGAACGUUGUAUAGAUGAGGUCAGCCAGCACGUGCUUAUUUUUUCCUGGUUUCUUUCACUCGGCAUACCUCUUUUGAGAGGUAACCGUGUCACCGCAUGUAUCAAUGUGUUUGGCAUAAUUAUUUUGAGAUGUAUUCGUGUCAUGCACGUGUCAAUGCGUUCACUUUCUCCCGGCUACUGUCACAAAUUGCCACACACUGAGUGGCUUAAAACAACACAAAUCUAUUAACCUUACAAUUCUGGAGGCCAGAAUUCUGAAAUGGGUCCCACUAGGCCAAAAUGAAGGUGUCAACAGGAAUGACUGUGCUUUCUCUGGAGGCUCACAUGGAAAAUCCACGUCCCCGCCCCUCCAGCUCCCAAAGCUGCCUUCGUUCCUUGGCUGGCGGCCCUCCUCCAUCUUCAAAGCCAGCGUUGACCAGGCUAGCCCUUCCCACAUCCCGGCACUCUGACCUCCUCUUCCGCCUCCUUCCUCCGUUUUUAAGCAUCUUGUGAUCUCAUUGCUGACUCAGAUAAUCCAGGAUAAUCUCCCUAUUUAAGGCCAGCUGCUAAGCAACCUUAAUUCCAUCUGCAACCUCAAUUCCCCUUCAGCAUAAACCUAAUGUAUUCCCAACUUCCCGGGAUUAGGGCAUGAACAUCUUUUGGGAGACCAUUGUUCUGCCUAUCACAGUCAAUAGCCCCUCAAUCAUUAUUGCAGAAUAGUUUUCCAUCAUGGGCACAAUCUGUUUCUCUAUCUAACUGUUCACGGCAUUUUGGGAGGAUUCCAGUGUUUGGCGAUUACAAGUGAAGCUGCUGGGAACAUGCCCAUACAAGUCUGUGUUGACACCUGCUCUUGCUUCUUCUGUGUAAAUAUCUAGGAGGGGGAUUGUUGGGUUGCAUGGAAGACAU
This is a long non-coding RNA of Macaca fascicularis (crab-eating macaque), 1762 nucleotides long. Lineage: Eukaryota; Metazoa; Chordata; Mammalia; Primates; Cercopithecidae. The record is from Ensembl.